AACGCUGGCGGCGUGCUUAACACAUGCAAGUCGAACGAGGAUUACAUUGGAAGGGGCUUCGGCCUGGAAGAGUGUAAUUCGAGUGGCGGACGGGUGAGUAACGCGUGAACAAUCUGUCCCGGACAGGGGAAUAACACUUGGAAACAGGUGCUAAUACCGCAUAAGACCACGCCCUCGCAUGGGGAGGGGUAAAAGGAGCAAUCCGGUUCGGGGUGAGUUCGCGUCCGAUUAGAUAGUUGGUGAGGUAACGGCCCACCAAGUCGACGAUCGGUAGCCGACCUGAGAGGGUGAUCGGCCACAUUGGAACUGAGAGACGGUCCAAACUCCUACGGGAGGCAGCAGUGGGGAAUAUUGGGCAAUGGGCGAAAGACCCUGACCCAGCAACGCCGCGUGAGUGAAGAAGGCUUUCGGGUUGUAAAGCUCUGUUAUAGGGGACGAAGGAAGUGACGGUACCCUAUAAGGAAGCCCCGGCUAACUACGUGCCAGCCGCAGC
This 493-nucleotide ribosomal RNA is filed under the name uncultured bacterium. RNAcentral describes it as "bacterial SSU rRNA". It matches the Rfam family "Bacterial small subunit ribosomal RNA", at positions 32 to 518 of the family's 1533-position model. The record is from RNAcentral.